This is a non-coding RNA of Musa acuminata subsp. malaccensis (wild Malaysian banana), 1420 nucleotides long. The record is from RefSeq and is a predicted model, not a curated record. Lineage: Eukaryota; Viridiplantae; Streptophyta; Magnoliopsida; Zingiberales; Musaceae.
UUUUAACAAACACCAGUUGUUGUAUUUAUUUGUAUUUUUGGCUUUGUUCUUACUGCAGCUGUAGAUCAUUUGGACCACCUAUCAUUCUAAUAAUGAAUGGCUACUAAUAGCUUUCAGAUAUAGUGGUUUGGCAUAUUCUUGGGCAGUGAUCGCCGCCUCAGGGUCAAUCAAUACUGUCAGGGAUGACUGGCCUUCGUAUCAUUAUGAUCCAGUGAGAGAGAGAGAGAGAGAUGCAUCUUCACGCAACGGGAAGAUAUGAAAUUGAGCAUUGGGAUGCAGUUGCAAGAGGCAGUGUUCCUUUUAGGGGAUUGGUGGGUGAUCCUCAUUUGUCUGCGCCACCUCCUUUCUGGAAUGGUGAUGAAGGGAUUGGUGGGAACAGGUCUAUGGAGAAGUGAGCCCAUCCCAACCAUCUUAGUAAUCCAUGGAGCUAAGCAAAGCAGCAAGUCUCGAGUGACUCAUCAGUCUCAAUGCAUUCUUAAGGCUUUGAGUUCUGAUCCAUGGGAAAAAGGUUUUACAUGCUUCAUUCACCAUGGUAGCUGCAGCUGCAGUGAUCAAUGUGCAUGUUUGCCUCCACUCCAAUAUGUUGAGUUAAAAAUCUGGCAUCCACAAGUUCUCGAACGAAUCUCGAAGGAGUCGAUCAAGUCUCCUGCGUGCAUCUCGAAGCUGGAUCCAAGUCCGAAUGAACAUGCUAUGAAGGUAUUCAACUCGGCCGGGACUCCCUUCUCCGAUCAUGCCUGCUAUUUCAUUGCGUUUUUGUGCUCCUUUCUCCGGUGCUGAAUUGUUGCGGCCUUUCCUUACUCCGCAGGCCUCAUUUCACUGAAGCAAAAAGCAGACUCUUUCGUUGAAGGAUGACGAAGACUGAUCCGGAUUUUCUAGUUGGAGGAUCAAAAGGAAAUUUGAAAGGAAGCUGGCAUAUGCUUGCCUGGUGACGAAAAGAAGAACGGGAAAUGACUGGCCUUCAGAAGUGUCGAAGCACCCGUCAGAACAAAGAAACCUAACACGUGCAACUUCAUUGGCAAAGUGUCGAAGCACCCGUCAGAAAAAGAAAAGGAAUGAAUUAUUUGCCAGAUUAGCGAGUUUGACAACAUUGUUUUUUUUUCUUCGUUUACUUAUUAAUAAAAAAGGAGUGAAUUAUUCAGUUCUUUGUGCAGUCGUAGUCGUAUGUGCAAAUGUAAAUAAGUUUAUAAGAAAUUGAUGACUCCAUUUGUGACACGGACAUUUAACACUAACAUCACAAUUUUAGGAAUUUCAGAUAUCAAAAUCAAAGCACUCAAUGCUUUUGUGUAUGCAUGUGUGUGACACUGUGAAACCAAAAACUUGUUAGUAUCUGAUGGCUUAUGUGAAGUAUCCCAAUCGAUACAAAUACACACGUAUGUAUGAAUGUAUAUACAUAUACAUAUAAAAUCAAACUUGGAUUUAG